CAGAAUGGCUGAAACACCUGCCCCAGGCCUGUGUGCUUGAUGGUCCCAGAGCUGGGGCUGGGAGAACAGAGGUGGGCCUGAACAUCUGGAGCUGGACAGGACAGUUGAAGAAAAUGAGUCAGAGAAUGCAAGGAACUUGUCCAAGGUUACCAAGAAAUGGAGUCUUACUGUGUUGCCCAGUCUGGUCUCAACUCCCGGCCUCAAGUGAUCCUCCUGCCUCAGCCUCCCAAGGAGAGGGCUUUUAUUUUUUUGAGGCAGAGUUUCACUCUGUUGCCCAGGCUGGAGUGCAGUGGCAUGAUCUUGGCUCACUACAGCCUUCGCCUCCCGGGCUCAAGCAAUCCUCAACUUCACCCUCCCAAGUAGCUGGGACCACAAGUGUGCACCACCACGCCGGCUGAUUUUUGUAUUUUUCGUAGAUAUGGGGCUUCACCACAUUGCCCAGGCUAGUCUCCAUCUGCCUCAACCUCUGAAAGUGCUGGGAUUACAGGCGUGAGCAACUGUGCCCAGCCAGGAGAGGGGUUAUUGAGUUCCACAUU
This is a long non-coding RNA of Callithrix jacchus (white-tufted-ear marmoset), 536 nucleotides long. RefSeq lists it as uncharacterized. NCBI's taxonomy places the organism in Eukaryota, Metazoa, Chordata, Mammalia, Primates, Cebidae. The record is from RefSeq and is a predicted model, not a curated record.